UACAGAGGUGGCAAGCGUUGUUCGGAAUUACUGGGCGUAAAGGGCGCGUAGGCGGUCUUGUAAGUCUUGUGUGAAAUCCCUCGGCUUAACUGAGGAACUGCACGAGAUACUGCGAGACUUGAGAUCGGGAGAGGGAAGCGGAAUUCCGGGUGUAGCGGUGAAAUGCGUAGAUAUCCGGAGGAACACCGGUGGCGAAGGCGGCUUCCUGGACCAGCACUGACACUGAGGCACGAAAGCGUGGGGAGCAAACAGG
RNAcentral lists this ribosomal RNA (253 nucleotides) under uncultured bacterium. RNAcentral describes it as "partial 16S ribosomal RNA". It matches the Rfam family "Bacterial small subunit ribosomal RNA", at positions 524 to 776 of the family's 1533-position model. The record is from RNAcentral.